CCCUUAGAUGUUCUGGGCCGCACGCGCGCUACACUGACGAAUGCAACGAGCUUAUAACCUUGGCCGAAAGGUCUGGGUAAUCUCCAAAUUUCGUCGUGAUGGGGAUAGAUUAUUGCAAUUAUUAAUUUUCAACGAGGAAUGCCUAGUAAGCGCAAGUCAUCAGCUUGCGUUGAUUACGUCCCUGCCCUUUGUACACACCGCCCGUCGCUCCUACCGAUUGAAUGGUCCGGUGAAGCGUUCGGACCGUGGCCUUUGGACGGUUCGCCGUCUGUUGGCUGCGGGAAGUUCGUUAAACCUUAUCAUUUAGAGGAAGGAGAANUCGUAACA
Molecule: ribosomal RNA, 327 nt
Filed under: uncultured eukaryote
Lineage: Eukaryota
Description: partial 18S ribosomal RNA
Rfam family: Eukaryotic small subunit ribosomal RNA
Source: RNAcentral